This 73-nucleotide transfer RNA is filed under the name Caldifarciminota bacterium. RNAcentral's name for it is "candidate division WOR-3 bacterium (hot springs metagenome) tRNA-Arg". It matches the Rfam family "tRNA". From Rfam's summary of the family: Transfer RNA (tRNA) molecules are approximately 80 nucleotides in length. The record is from RNAcentral. Lineage: Bacteria; Pseudomonadati; Caldifarciminota.
GCGCCUGUAGCUUAACAGGAUAAAGCGUCGGACUACGAAUCCGCAGAUGGGGGUUCAAGUCCCUCCAGGCGCG